GGGAGCUUGCUCCCUGAUGUUAGCGGCGGACGGGUGAGUAACACGUGGGUAACCUGCCUGUAAGACUGGGAUAACUCCGGGAAACCGGGGCUAAUACCGGAUGCUUGUUUGAACCGCAUGGUUCAAACAUAAAAGGUGGCUUCGGCUACCACUUACAGAUGGACCCGCGGCGCAUUAGCUAGUUGGUGAGGUAAUGGCUCACCAAGGCAACGAUGCGUAGCCGACCUGAGAGGGUGAUCGGCCACACUGGGACUGAGACACGGCCCAGACUCCUACGGGAGGCAGCAGUAGGGAAUCUUCCGCAAUGGACGAAAGUCUGACGGAGCAACGCCGCGUGAGUGAUGAAGGUUUUCGGAUCGUAAAGCUCUGUUGUUAGGGAAGAACAAGUGCCGUUCGAAUAGGGCGGCACCUUGACGGUACCUAACCAGAAAGCCACGGCUAACUACGGGCCAGCAGCCGCGGUAAUACGUAGGUGGCAAGCGUUGUCCGGAAUUAUUGGGCGUAAAGGGCUCGCAGGCGGUUUCUUAAGUCUGAUGUGAAAGCCCCCGGCUCAACCGGGGAGGGUCAUUGGAAACUGGGGAACUUGAGUGCAGAAAGAGGAGAGUGGAAUUCCACGUGUAGCGGUGAAAUGCGUAGAGAUGUGGAGGAACACCAGUGGCGAAGGCGACUCUCUGGUCUGUAACUGACGCUGAGGAGCGAAAGCGUGGGGAGCGAACAGAUUAGAUACCCUUGGUAGUCCACGCCGUAAACGAUGAGUGCUAAGUGUUAGGUGGUUUCCGCCCCUUAAUGCUGCAGCUAACGCAUUUAGCACUCUGCCUGGGGGAG
This 825-nucleotide ribosomal RNA is filed under the name Bacillus sp. XA8. Its description in RNAcentral is "bacterial SSU rRNA". It matches the Rfam family "Bacterial small subunit ribosomal RNA", at positions 74 to 881 of the family's 1533-position model. Lineage: Bacteria; Bacillati; Bacillota; Bacilli; Caryophanales; Bacillaceae. The record is from RNAcentral.